RNAcentral lists this transfer RNA (73 nucleotides) under Treponema parvum. It matches the Rfam family "tRNA". Rfam says of the family: Transfer RNA (tRNA) molecules are approximately 80 nucleotides in length. Their secondary structure includes four short double-helical elements and three loops (D, anti-codon, and T loops). The record is from Rfam by way of RNAcentral. Lineage: Bacteria; Pseudomonadati; Spirochaetota; Spirochaetia; Treponematales; Treponemataceae.
CGGGCAAUAGCGCAGUUGGUAGCGCGCUAGGUUCGGGACUUAGAGGUCCGCGGUUCAAAUCCGCGUUGCCCGA